CUCUUCGGGCAAUCGCGCCGUUUCUUUAGAAUCGGUGAGGAAAGUCCAUGCUCACACAACCUUAACUGGAUGUAGUGUUCGUGCUUGACGAAACAAUAAGUCAAGGCAGCUUACUUGUAAGUUGACGGCGCUUGGAACACCUAAGUCAAUCGAUAUGGUGAACCAUCGUAACGUGCCACAGUGACGUAGCUUCUCGGAAACGAGAAGAGUGGAACGAGGUAAACCCCACGAGUGAGUAACCCAAAAUAUGGUAGGGGCACUUUUUCGGUGGAAACAUACGAAAGAGGCGAAUAUAUCGCAGAUAGAUGAUUGCCGUCGUCGUGUGAGGUCAACAGCCUUAGCACGUCGAUACAGAACAUGGCUUAUAGAA
This is a non-coding RNA of Geomicrobium sp. JCM 19038, 370 nucleotides long. It matches the Rfam family "Bacterial RNase P class B". Rfam says of the family: Ribonuclease P (RNase P) is a ubiquitous endoribonuclease, found in archaea, bacteria and eukarya as well as chloroplasts and mitochondria. Its best characterised activity is the generation of mature 5'-ends of tRNAs by cleaving the 5'-leader elements of precursor-tRNAs. Cellular RNase Ps are ribonucleoproteins. NCBI's taxonomy places the organism in Bacteria, Bacillati, Bacillota, Bacilli, Caryophanales. The record is from Rfam.